UAGGGAAUCUUCGGCAAUGGACGAAAGUCUGACCGAGCAACGCCGCGUGAGUGAAGAAGGUUUUCGGAUCGUAAAACUCUGUUGUUAGAGAAGAACAAGGACGUUAGUAACUGAACGUCCCCUGACGGUAUCUAACCAGAAAGCCACGGCUAACUACGUGCCAGCAGCCGCGGUAAUACGUAGGUGGCAAGCGUUGUCCGGACUUAUUGGGCGUAAAGCGAGCGCAGGCGGUUUCUUAAGUCUGAUGUGAAAGCCCCCGGCUCAACCGGGGAGGGUCAUUGGAAACUGGGAGACUUGAGUGCAGAAGAGGAGGGUGGAAUUCCAUGUGUAGCGGUGAAAUGAGUAGAAAUAUGGAGGAACACCAGUGGCGAAGGCGGCUCUCUGGUAUGUAACUGACGAUGAGGCUCGAAAGCGUGGGGAGCAAACAGG
Molecule: ribosomal RNA, 429 nt
Filed under: Gemmatimonadota bacterium
Lineage: Bacteria; Pseudomonadati; Gemmatimonadota
Description: Gemmatimonadetes bacterium partial 16S ribosomal RNA
Rfam family: Bacterial small subunit ribosomal RNA
Source: RNAcentral